This 5193-nucleotide ribosomal RNA is filed under the name Triticum aestivum (bread wheat). RNAcentral's name for it is "partial small subunit ribosomal RNA". The record is from RNAcentral. Lineage: Eukaryota; Viridiplantae; Streptophyta; Magnoliopsida; Poales; Poaceae.
GGACCAACCCACUAACAGUCGAGUCGACUCCUCCGCCUCCCUCUGUGGCUGCUGUGCUCAUCUUCGAUGGCCGGUCCGAGAGCGAGAGAACACCUAACCUGCCGAAGAAGCAGCAGCAGAAGAAGAGGGGGAACAGGAUAAAGAAGGGACGAGACGAGGCAACGAGGUAACGACGACGACGGCCAAGGUAGAGGCAGGUGGUGGCGGACGACGAUGAGGUAGAAGAAGAGAGAGCGUCAGCGGCCGCUGUUGACAACGACUUAGCCGACGACCAAGGUAGAGCCAGGUGGUGGACGACGAACGAGAAGAGAGCGGCCGCCGGGUAAAACAAAGAAGGGGAACACUAAAACCCAGGAGGCUCCGCUGGUUGGUACUGCGGAAGAAGGAUGAUUGAUUGAUUGCUCGACGUUCCGACUAAAUGUGUUCGUUCGUUCCCCUCGUUAGUCAGUCCGUCCGUCCUCUAAGUCUCGAAUUAAAGUCAUUAAAGCGGUACUUAUUGUUAUGCGAGUACUAGUGGUGGUCGUGGUCGUCAUAGUCGUCUCUCCCGUCGCAGCUGCCAUUUGUGUUGGCACAGGUAAAGGACGACGGCCGCAUGGUUUGGUGGCAGUUCGUUGGACUGCUGAGACUGCCACGGCGACUUAAGUUAUUGGGACUCCUCCCACUACGGCACACCCAUGGUGGUCUCGGCCGGUGGUUGCUACUGCUAUGGUUGGUAAACCCACGUGUGUGUUUACUACUACUACUGCUGCUGCUACUACUUACCGUACUACCAUAGUCGACCCCCGUCGGCUCGAGGUCACUGAGACUUGGGUCGGGCUCAGGAUCAGGGUCCCUCCUGGCCGUGUGACCCUACGAGUUCCGGUACCUGUUCGUCGAUUUCUACGAGUGGUGUGCCAAGGAUCGUAGACGUCCGUAGAGGAACGGGGUGCUUCUACUGCCGCCGCUUUCGACCGAGCUGUAGCAUUGGCGGGACAGGACCCUCCGACGAGACGAGUAGUUCGGACUGCCGUUUCGGCCUUUACUUUACCUGGGACCCAGAAUAUAGUUCCAGUUCGCGUAGCGGAGGCCGUGGGCUUCUGUCACACUCCACUAGUUGCCCAACCACAAGUCCUUCAUACGUCGAGUGUUCGUGUACGGGUGGUUCACGGUGUUGGGGUUCGACGACGACGAGGUUCCGCGGGAGCCCCUGAGGCUACAACCAGACAGUAGUAAACUAAGGUACCCUGUCCUUUUCCUGGUAAACCUUUUCCGAUAGUCGGUUCACUACCUCUUUACACGAGGUCUACAGUAGGACCACCUCUUUUGUCAAAGCGCCCUGUAUGUCCUCGAAGAGGACUUGGUUCCACAGUGAGACCACGAGCUAUACUUCGAGCUGGCCAACGUCUCUUAACGAGCGACAAGACCUAGAGGAUAUCAGAGACAAAACCUGUAGUACUGGUACUGCUUCGACUUUGUCACGCUGAUGAAGGUGUAGCUUUUCCAGUACCUCCUCGUAUUGCCACCACUCCCGCCCUUCGCCUGUAACUUUUGCAACUACAAGAACCUUCCGAAAGGGUCCGGCAACCCUACGUGCUAUAAUAACGCUCCUCGUUUAUCGCUUCUUGACUUCUUUCAGUUCGUUCAGUACGAGAUGUGGCACAAACGUCGCAUGGUGGACCAAGAACUCCGUAGGAAGAAACUCCUAGUCUUCCAUAAGAACUUACGAAGUUUGAGACAACCAUACUUCCUUCCCGGUAGUAGAGGACAGUCAGUACGUCUCUUACCACAGUCCAUAUCAUCUAGUCACCUCGUGUAAAGACUACGUCUCCGUUCAUGACGAGUAAGACGUUUAAGUCUACGGAAUGUGAGUGGCUGCCUACCGACGAGCUCACCCGAGUGCCUCCCACGUUCAUUUUGGUAGGUAAGUUUAGUACGUGAAGGAAGACUUUUUUACGACCAUUGUAGUCAGAGCCCUAGUGACUCUCCUAAGUAGCUAUUUAAGGCGGCAGUCUUAUAAAUAGAUGGACAGUGAAGAGUUCUCUGUCGACUAUUGGUCUUUCUUCCUUGUGGACUCGAGUUAGUUCUACAUGGUUCACUUCCAGAAGUACGGCACCAUUACUGUCUACCUGGUCAACUAAGGCCACUCAUGUGCCUGUCAAAUUUUCUAAAGGUCUUUGUUUUUCUAGUCGUUUACUAUGACCGACCAGUAGGUUGGUAACCUUUUGUACUCGUUAACAGUCAACGUAAACUUUUACCCCUCGUUGUGUCGUGGGGAAUGUCACUUCUCUUUUGAAUGUAACUGCUCCGACUGCUGCACAACCUAAGAGUCUCGUAUGACUAAAACUACAGAUCGGUUACGUAGCGAUUUGUCCAGUAAACACUCGUCUCAGUAGACAGGGCCUAUUUAAUAAUACCUUUAAAACUGCAGAGGAAUCCUGCUAUAAACGUUCUGUAAAACGUCUUAGUCUUGGAUUCGACAAAGAGUACGCCUCUCGGAGGCCUCAGAGUGUACAUGAGAAUGUGGGUGGCGCUACCAUUGGACUGUCAAGAACACUUCGCAAACGACGGACUCGUAGCGAACAGACCACUUAGGUUUCCCUUUUAAACCUACACCUGAUCUACAAAUUCUACACUCGUCCUUUCGCCCUAUAGGUUUAGUAGAGCUUCUCACUACUACAGGCGACUCCGUGCCUUAGAGAGCAAGCCCUUCAAGGAACUUGAGUCAAAAAGUUCGGUGAGACGACUGUCUUCCGAUAGUCAGACACCUGUGAGCCACUUGUCCCUGACGAACGCGAAAAAACCCGACCCGAGGUUUCAACGUUACAAAGUCAUAAGUAGCCAGCUUUAUAUGUUGCGGACGUUCGGUGUCGUUUGGGAGCUCAAGGUAUUAGGGUCAUGUGUACUCAACAAGCUCGUUGUCCCCUCUUUACAAGAACGGUCUCCUCAAUGGGAAAAGUGACUUCAACUUUUGUAUUAUGUCGUGUACUUCUUAGUCAAAGGACUCCACCACUAGUUGACGCCGCGGAAGGAAGGACAAUUUCUCAAAAGACUUGAGCUACUCUACAACCAGUUUCUCUUCCGGCUCAAACACCUAAAAGAGUACUUCCGACGACUAGCCGUACCCCACAGAUCCAGGAGCCAUGUACUCUAAGAACUACAUUUAACCGAGAUAGUCCUGGAGGACGAACCUGUCAUACAGACCCUGGCAGCCAACGUACCUGAAGAUGAACCAUUUAGACGACCUUUUCUUUCUUACUCAUUGUCGUACUUCUUCCACUGAUAACUUGAAUGAAUACUGGCUUGUCGUUGACCUCGGCUCCGGCUACCAUAGCGGCUCCCGUGGUCGUCGGUUGAUAGUAACCUCUUACCUAGAUAACUCGGUCACGUCAAACCACUUGACCCCCACUUGUCUGUAAGUAGUCGUCACUGACUACUUUGGGUAGUCCUAUCCGUGAUACUUUUCGUUCGAUCGCGUGGCAGGUCUUGUAGUCUAUAUAACCUACGAGUCCCCGUCUCUUUACCAGGCUAAAAUGUUGCAAGCUAAAGGAAAUUCGUUCCAUAAGUUGUUAAGUCUCAAAGACUUACCCUCCUGUCCCUCUUUACCCAGACCUCAGGUGAAUCACUCAAUUCUAACCGAAUGUCCGUCCUCGAAGUCCGGCCUACAAACCUUUUUAAACUCGAACAAUUGGCGAUAAGCGGUAGAGUAGACGGUGGGAACAUGUUUGUUAGACGACUUCUCCGCGGGAGAGGUGCCAAGCAGCAACCAGGCCCACCGUUACAGAACAGACAUAGUCUCCUACUCUAUAGGUCGUAUCAGAGGACACGAGAGCGGUAUAGGCUCCUGGCAGCGGUGGACGACCUAAGAUAACAGCUCUCAGUACGUAGCCUGUGAUGAUCGUACAAUAGGCUUAGAAGGAGAAGGCGGAGAAGUAGUAGGACCAGUAGGCUUAGAAGUCUAAGACUUCGUCCGAAAAACAGGCUGCUUGACAUGUUGAUGCUGUCGAGCGAGGAUAGUAGGAGAGAGGUAGGCCUCUAUAGACAGUUACCCUUUCGUUUAGAGUUUCCUUUUAUAAGUCAAUAUACACACGUGCGAUUAGUCAAAAUGUGAGAAUCUGUCUUUACGACAGGUAGACUCGAACGUAUACAGCGAAGGGAUUCGGCUACGUUCUUUACCUUGCGCGUUCCGCCUUUCUCGUUCCGAAAGAAACGCUUUUGUUACCUACCGUCCAAGUAGCAGUUCGUUUAUGUUUUCUGUCUCAAGCUCAGAAAGUAUCUUAAACGGGGCCUAAUGAAGUUCGUACAAACGGUGAGAGAGCUGUGGCCCUCGGUUUGGACGGAACGGUUUUAAGAUCCGUAGAUAGUCCAAUUCGUCUAUUCCGUGCCGUUCCUUCACUUCUAACUAGACUACCACUACCUUUUAGAGGAGAAACCUGUGUUACACAGUGCCUAUAUGCUAGAAUUUCCACGCCAAAAGAGAGCUAUGUAUCGGCUGAGCUCACUGGGAGUGUGACAGAUGAACCUAGUUUUGAAACAGCUCCUAUACGCACAGAGAGGUUAGAUAUAACCACCCUCUUGUUUUGUAGAGAACGUCGCCCGUUAGACCUUGCUAUGUAGAAAGGAGUGCAGUCAAUUACAGUACCUGAUGAGAGAUGAACACCCUCAGCUACUUGUUUUGGUACUUAAACAUGAACCGUAGUAGCUAAUGGACUCCGUCAUGUGUACCCUGUUCGUUGACCUCUGUACCCGCUUUUGAAGAGAGCACCACGGCUUCUUACUCAGCGGCUGUCACUAAAGUGGGUCCCUCAUGUUCUUUUCCAAGUCCUUCAAGUACCGGUUCAUAAAGGAUUGCCAGGGUCUACUAACCUGGUGGCGCUUCUUCUCAAGUCCCUGGACAUUUAUAACACGAGCGCCGUUGACAUUGAACAGUUUCUAGCUGUCGGUCUUCGGAGUUGAAGCUCGACUCAGCACGAGAUAGGUCACUUCUUGACGAGAGCGGCAAUACCUCAAGUAGAAGGUCGAAUAAAAAAUCGGUAAAACGUUGGUCACAUGUAUCCUAUUCACGUACCUAAGUGGAAAUUUCAAUAGGAUUCAAACGUAUAAAAUCCGUUUGAAAACCCCCUUCACUCCAGGUUUUAUGUACAUGGGUGAUUCAAAAUAACAACAUUUUCAAGUGUUACUCAUUUCACUUUAGUGUACUAAACAUCUAGUAAACAA